UCGGCAUCCUGUAGCAGUUCCGCUAACAGUGUUUGCGUUCCAUAGAAAUUUUUACAAAACUUUUCAAUAUUUGUUUACCGCUUGUUUGCGCUAUAUUCACGUGGAUUCAGCAAUACACCGCGAACGCCGCCGCGCAGGGUUAGGUUAGGUUAGGUUAGGCAUAGCGAUACCUAUUCUUAUAUAAAACCCCCGUACCCGACUCGAUA
This is a non-coding RNA of Cinara cedri, 206 nucleotides long. The record is from the annotation of a GenBank genome assembly. Lineage: Eukaryota; Metazoa; Arthropoda; Insecta; Hemiptera; Aphididae.